RNAcentral lists this ribosomal RNA (468 nucleotides) under uncultured bacterium. RNAcentral describes it as "partial 16S ribosomal RNA". It matches the Rfam family "Bacterial small subunit ribosomal RNA", at positions 28 to 507 of the family's 1533-position model. The record is from RNAcentral.
GACGAACGCUGGCGGCGUGCUUAACACAUGCAAGUCGAACGGACACGCCCUUCUUUUGUGCGGUGCUCUAGUUGCCACCUGGUGAGUUACCCUUUAGUACCCUACCCUUCACUUUGGGUUACCUUCAUGCCGCUUAGGCUCUUACCGGGUAGGAGCUCCUGCUGCAUGGUGGGCGUUGGACAGUUUCGGCGGUUGGUGAUGUACUCGCGGCGUAUCAGCUUGUUGGUGGGGUAGUGGCUUACCAAGGCUUUGACGGGUAGCCGGGCUGCGCGGGUCACCGGACACACUGGGACUGAGAUACGGCACAGACUCCUACGGGAGGCAGGAGAGGAGAAGAGUGCACAAUGGGCGGAAGGCUGAUGCAGCAACGCCGCGUGCGGGAAGACGGGAUGCGGGUUGGAAACCGAAGUCGCCUGGGACGAAGCGUGAGUGACGGUAACGGGUAAAGAAGCACCGGCUAACUACGUG